AAAUAGAUACCCCGGUAGUCCAUGCCGUAAACGUUGGGCACUAGGUGUGGGGCUCAUUUCCACGAGUUCCGUGCCGCAGCAAACGCAUUAAGUGCCCCGCCUGGGGAGUACGGCCGCAAGGCUAAAACUCAAAGGAAUUGACGGGGGCCCGCGACAAGCGGCGGAGCAUGCGGAUUAAUUCGAUGCAACGCGAAGAACCUUACCAAGGCUUGACAUGCACGGGAAGCCACCAGAGAUGGUGGUCUCUUUGGACGACUCGUGCACAGGUGGUGCAUGGUUGUCGUCAGCUCGUGUCGUGAGAUGUUGGGUUAAGUCCCGCAACGAGCGCAACCCUGUCCCAUGUUGCCAGCGGGUUAUGCCGGGGACUCAUGGGAGACUGCCGGGGUCAACUCGGAGGAAGGUGGGGAUGACGUCAAAUCAUCAUGCCCCUUAUGUCUUGGGCUUCACGCAUGCUACAAUGGCCGGUACAAAGGGCUGCGAUACCGUAAGGUGGAGCGAAUCCCAAAAAGCCGGUCUCAGUUCGGAUUGGGGUCUGA
This 536-nucleotide ribosomal RNA is filed under the name uncultured bacterium. Its description in RNAcentral is "bacterial SSU rRNA". It matches the Rfam family "Bacterial small subunit ribosomal RNA", at positions 776 to 1308 of the family's 1533-position model. The record is from RNAcentral.